GACUCUGACAUUGUGAUCUUCAAAAGAUCCUUGUAUUGUUCCACUCUAUUCUUCACUAGUAAUGUAUGGAGUUCAAUAGAGUCUUUUGGAUAAUUUAAAACACCAAAUAACUGUGACUUAAGCCCAGAUUUCCUAUCAGCCCUGCUGCAGACUUAGCGGAAUUUGAAUCUUUGAGGAUGGAGCCCAGCAAUACGUAUAUUAAAGAAGAUUUUUGGGCUGUUUCGUGGACGCCGGGUGAGCUUGAGCAUCUGUGUGUGUUGGGCAGGAGGAAAGCGGGAAGACGCAUCGGAGUGUGUGGAUUUGAGCCUCUGCAUUUUUUACCCUAGAUCUCGAAAUGCAUCGUGAUUCCUGUCCAUUGGACUGUAAGGUUUAUUUGGCAAUCUUAGAAACAAUGGCAAGACCGAAUUGGAACGGACUUUUGGCUACUAUGGACCACUCCGAAGUGUGUAGGUUGCUAGAAACCCUCCCUGCUUUGCUUUUGCUGAAUUUGAAAACCCCCAAGAUACAGCUGAUGCUGUCCGAGAGCUAGAUGGAAGAACACUAUGUGGCUGCCGUGUAAGAGUGGAACUGUCGAAUGGUGAAAAAAGAAGUAGAAAUCGUGGCCCACCUCCCUUUUGGGGUCGUCGUCCUCGAGAUUAUUAUCGUAGGAGGAGUCCUCCACCUCGUCGAAGAUUUCUGAGAAGGAGAAGCUUCUCUCGCAGCCGGAGCAGGUCCCUUUCUAGAGAUUGGAGAAGAGAGAUCACUGUCCCGGGAGAUAAAUCACAAGCCGUCCCGAUCCUUCUCUAGGUCUCGUAGCCGAUCUAGGUCAAAUGAAAGGAAAUAGAAGACCAGUUUGCAAGAGAAGUGGUGUACAGGAAAUUACUUCAUUUGACAGGAGUGUGUACAGAAAAUUCAAGUUUUGUUUGAGACUUCAUAAGCUUGGUGCAUUUUUAAGAUGCUUUAGCUGUUCAAAUUUGUUUGUCUUUUGAAACAGUGACACAAAGGUAUAAUUCUCUAUGGUUUGAAAUGGAUCAUAUGAGGCAUGUAAUGCCAAGAAUUGUUACUUUACAAUGUUCCCUUAAGCAAAAUUGAAUUUGCUUUGAAUUUUAGUUAUGCAUAGACUGAUAAUAAACCUCUAAACCUGCCCAGCAGAAGUGUGAAUUUUUUUUUUUAAAUACAGAAACAACUGGCAAAAAUUGAACUAAGAUUUACUUUUUCAGGAUAUAGGAUGCAGCUAUAGUUGAACAAGCAGUCUUUAAAAGUUGCUGUGAAACACAAGCCAUCAGGUAAAAAACGCUGCACUAUUAAAUCAGAGGUUUUUGAAAAAGCCAACUCAUGUUUAUCCUGGGCAGAGGUUGCCUAGUUGGUAUAGAAUCUUAAGUUUCAAGAAAGUUUAUCUUUGAUUUAGGUCAUAAGUUCCUUAUUUAAUUGCUGUAUAUGAAUACAUGGCUGUUCAUGACAUUAUGGGCAAAUUUGAGAUUUCAAAAAUGACCUGCCAGUUUAAGGGAACAUUGUAGAGCCGACUGUGCAAGAUUUUUUUUCAUGCUGUCAUUUGUAAUAUGUUUUGUGAGAAUCCUUGGGAUUAAAGUUUUGGUUACAAAUUGUUGUUUAA
RNA transcript from Sapajus apella (tufted capuchin), 1591 nucleotides. It is a transcript of the gene named serine/arginine-rich splicing factor 3 pseudogene, with no coding region annotated. The transcript has a single exon. Lineage: Eukaryota; Metazoa; Chordata; Mammalia; Primates; Cebidae. The record is from RefSeq and is a predicted model, not a curated record.